GAACGCGAAAGGGCGCUUUUGUGCCCGAGUAGAGUGGCGCACGGGUGAGUAACACGUAGACAACCUGCCUUCGGGUUCGGGAUAACCUCUCGAAAGAAGGGCUAAUACCGGAUAACACUCUCGCUUCGCAUGGAGCGGGGUUAAAAGGGGUUUCCUGCCAGGAGAGGGGUCUGCGGGACAUUAGCUUGUUGGUGGGGUAACGGCUCACCAAGGCGAUGAUGUCUAGCGGGUCUGAGAGGAUGAUCCGCCACACUGGAACUGAGAUACGGUCCAGACUCCUACGGGAGGCAGCAGUGGGGAAUUUUGCGCAAUGGGCGAAAGCCUGACGCAGCAACGCCGCGUGGGUGAAGAAGGCCUUUGGGUCGUAAAGCCCUUUUCUGGGGAAAGAGCAAAGACGGUACCCCAGGAACAAGCACCGGCUAACUCCGUGCCAGCAGCCGCGGUAAUACGGAGGGUGCAAGCGUUGUUCGGAAUUACUGGGCGUAAAGGGCGUGUAGGCGGAUGUGCAAGCUGGGGGUGAAAGGCCAGGGCUCAACCCGGGACCAUCUCCCAGAACUGCAUAUCUAGAGAAAGUCAGAGGCAGGUGGAAUUCCUGGUGUAGAGGUGAAAUUCGUAGAGAUCAGGAGGAACACCGGCGGCGAAGGCGACCUGCUGGGGC
Molecule: ribosomal RNA, 658 nt
Filed under: uncultured bacterium
Lineage: Bacteria
Description: bacterial SSU rRNA
Rfam family: Bacterial small subunit ribosomal RNA
Source: RNAcentral